RNAcentral lists this ribosomal RNA (301 nucleotides) under uncultured bacterium. RNAcentral describes it as "partial 16S ribosomal RNA". It matches the Rfam family "Bacterial small subunit ribosomal RNA", at positions 509 to 807 of the family's 1533-position model. The record is from RNAcentral.
CAGUAGCCGCGGUAAGACAGAGGAUGCAAGCGUUAUCCGGAAUUACUGGGCGUAAAGCGUGCGUAGGCGGUGAGUUAAGUCUGCUGUGAAAUCCCCGGGCUCAACCUGGGAAUGGCAGUGGAUACUGGCUCGCUAGAGUGUGUCAGAGGAUGGUGGAAUUCCCGGUGUAGCGGUGAAAUGCGUAGAGAUCGGGAGGAACAUCAGUGGCGAAGGCGGCCAUCUGGGACAACACUGACGCUGAGGCACGAAAGCGUGGGGAGCAAACAGGAUUAGAUACCCCCGUAGUCCCUGUCUCUUAUAC